UUGUUUAAUUAAUUCAGCGCUUGCCAACAUUGGAAAAAUGUCUGAUCAUUGCAGACGCAGAGGACUUGGGGUCUCAAAAAGAAUAAUAAGGGAGGUGAGGAGAAAACUAUCAGGCUUCGAUUGUCAACUUGCAUUGGUUCAAACAAUGUUGCCAACGGGAUUGUUUGCCAAAAGAAUGCAUUGUGAACGACGAAGAAAGGCCUCUUCUGAGCAACAGAGCCCAUUACCUGCAUCGGAAGUUGCACCUGUCGCUAUAGCACAGCCAUGCAGAGUCCAGCUAAACAGUGACGGCAGAUGUGGAUGUGUUGCUAUUACAAAGGAUGGAAUUAUAGCCCUGUUCCUUCCAGACAAGAGCCCCACCUGUGCAAGAGCCCAACCUGGCAUCCAAGAGCUAAGCCGACCAUGUUGUGAUAGGCCUAUACAAUUAAAUACAAGACAAGGACAAGAAAUAGAAUGCAGCAACCUCUCCCCGAAGAAAACUUCAACAAAUGGAUUGUGUGGUGGUGUGAUCAACAUUCAUGUCAUCAAUAUGAAAGAAGACAGCCAUAUAUCUUCAGGAUUGAGUUCUUCGGAUGGAGUUCCUUUCCCAUGUCAUAAUGGAUCAGAACAUUGUUCAAUGUGUGAUGUAUGUUACAAUGGAGGAUUUUCCACACAGACCAAUGACAAAUGGACACAAGAACUUUUAGAUCCGCCAGUAGCCCUUGCUGGAUCAGACCAGACAGGUAAAGAAGGACAAACCAUUUUACAAAGAGUCCAAAGGUUCCUGCCUUUGUUACACGCGGUUGGAAUCCCAUUUUGCUCUCUCUUGGUUGCUGCUGACCUGUACUUUCAUUGGAAUGGAAGUUCAUGGUGCCCUGGGAGUGGCUUUUCUAGUGUACUCUUUGGUCCAGCCUGUAACUACCAUCCUCCUCCAGUAUGAAUGGAAACUGUCAAUGAUAGGAUGACAUUUUCAU
Molecule: long non-coding RNA, 953 nt
Organism: Oncorhynchus gorbuscha (pink salmon)
Lineage: Eukaryota; Metazoa; Chordata; Actinopteri; Salmoniformes; Salmonidae
Exons: 3
Source: RefSeq, a predicted model, not a curated record